RNAcentral lists this ribosomal RNA (212 nucleotides) under uncultured bacterium. RNAcentral describes it as "partial 16S ribosomal RNA". It matches the Rfam family "Bacterial small subunit ribosomal RNA", at positions 1289 to 1500 of the family's 1533-position model. The record is from RNAcentral.
CAGUUCGAAUUGCAGGCUGCAACCCGCCUGCAUGAAGUUGGAAUCGCUAGUAAUCGCGGAUCAGCAUGCCGCGGUGAAUACGUUCCCGGGCCUUGUACACACCGCCCGUCACACCAUGAGAGUCGGGAACACCCGAAGUCCGUAGCCUAACCGCAAGGGGGGCGCGGCCGAAGGUGGGUUCGAUAAUUGGGGUGAAGUCGUAACAAGGUACC